UGGGGAAUAUUGGACAAUGGGGGGAACCCUGAUCCAGCCAUGCCGCGUGUGUGAAGAAGGCCUUAUGGUUGUAAAGCACUUUAAGCGAGGAGGAGGGUACUGGUAUUAAUACUACCAGCUACUGGACGUUACUCGCAGAAUAAGCACCGGCUAACUCUGUGCCAGCAGCCGCGGUAAUACAGAGGGUGCGAGCGUUAAUCGGAUUUACUGGGCGUAAAGCGUGCGUAGGCGGCUAAUUGAGUCGGAUGUGAAAUCCCCGAGCUUAACUUGGGAAUUGCAUUCGAUACUGGUUAGCUAGGGUGUGGGAGAGGAUGGUAGAAUUCCAGGUGUAGCGGUGAAAUGCGUAGAGGUCUGGAGGAAUACCGAUGGCGAAGGCAGCCAUCUGGCCUAACACUGACGCUGAGGUACGAAAGCAUGGGGAGCAAACAGG
Molecule: ribosomal RNA, 430 nt
Filed under: Pseudomonadota bacterium
Lineage: Bacteria; Pseudomonadati; Pseudomonadota
Description: Proteobacteria bacterium partial 16S ribosomal RNA
Rfam family: Bacterial small subunit ribosomal RNA
Source: RNAcentral